GAGAUACAUAGGGUGAGAAACGGAGGCCUUCAGCCAACAGCUGGGAGAAGCUGAGUCCCGUCAACAAUUCAAAAGACUGCAGCCCCAGCCAAGAGUUUGAUGUAACCUCAGGAGAGACCCUGAGCCAGAACCACCUAGAAAAGCUGGGAUACAUGAAGACUGCCAUCCCUUGAGUCACUUGCCCUGUAGCUGCCACUGUUGGAAAAGGGCUUGAUUCUGUGUCCUUGUGCCCACUUUGAAAAGCCCUGGGAAGUCCUUGGAGUCAGAUGAUCAGGCCUCCACCACUCUGCCAAAAAGUCUGUUCACAACCCUGAGGGAGGGAGGAGUGUUGUCCACAUGGCAGAGUGGAUGAUAAAUGGUACGACCAAGGUUCACAUGGAAAGCUCCCCACUCCAAAGCCCAGGCUCUCAACCUUCACUCCCCCUGUAUUUUUAAAUAAAGCUCCCUCAUCUUGUCUGAAAGCAGGAAGUUUCACAUCAUUAGAGAAGAGAGAAGAAGGACAUUUGUACUGGGAGGAGUCGACUGGUCCCAAUCAGGAGAAAGUAGCUACAGAGUCAUGGGUGAGCUGGGUCCCCCAAAAAGGAACUUUAAGGGAAUGGACUGAAUCAAGUCAGAGAUGUCCCCAAAGCAAGACCAAAGAACUGAGCAAGAGAAGCAUUCAUCAGAAACCAAAAUUCAGCUACAAGUGAGCAUCCAGAUGGAGGUAUUAUGAAGAGGAACUGAGACUGAGGGCAAAAAGUGCCAGCCAGAAUCCUGGAUAGGAGAGCAAGAACCAGGACCUCAUUUAAGAGACAACCUGCUUAAGGCAGAAUAAGGUGAGAUUGGAUUCAUGCAAAGACCUGGAAUUCAAGUAGGUUAAUGAACAGAUAGUGUGUGCCUAUACCACGAAUUUACAAUAAUAAUAAGGGUGCUAAUAAUCACAUGGAAUUGUAGAGUAUAAU
This 941-nucleotide long non-coding RNA is filed under the name Pan troglodytes (chimpanzee). RNAcentral's name for it is "long non-coding RNA NONPTRT012413". The record is from RNAcentral. Lineage: Eukaryota; Metazoa; Chordata; Mammalia; Primates; Hominidae.